UUGUGUAUGUUUCCCGACCUCUUCUCGAGACCUUGGGGCUCAGGUCCUGGUGGCCGUCGGGGGUCUAGUCUCCUGUGAUGUAGGAAAGAAGGAACUAGAGCGCCUAGCUCCCUAUCUCUGCUCCGCUUUUUACAAACGGUACUAAAUUCCUGGGAAGUUUCGGGAGGUACACGUCGGCACUCCCCAGCUAAUCUCUGAGAACUUUUAAUUCGGGGCCCUGGUGUACGUAAAGGUUAGUCCACGAGGUGCGCAGAAGGGACAAGGGCUACUAGGCCAGUCGCGCUCUCCGAGUUCUGGUGUCCUGUUUGCUCUGAGCUUUCCCUGGAGAACUUCAGCGAGAUGCUGUCUAAGGAAGACAAGUUAGCAAAUAAAUUGGCUAAGUAAGAGUCCAGCCUGUGAACGGCCUCCAAGCCUGAGCCCAGAGAAGACCGAGCCCCGGCACGAACCUGAUUCCUGCUGCGUGUGUGUUUUUUUAUAUUUGCCAAACACGAGGUUGUCCUUGUGAAUUUCCCUGCACAAUAGCUGACACCCGGGAGAGGGUGCGCGGGCCCCGGCGCCGCUGGGACAGAGACUGGCUUUCCAACCAGAGGAGAGAAUGGAUAGUGAAAUUUUUUUCUUGUCAGUUAACUUCAAAAUAAAACAAAACUGUUUGACCCGUGGAGUUUAUUCAGACGGAAAGCCAGGUUGCCUGACUCGUCCAGUUUGCAAUUUUCCCAGCGCAUCGGCUUUGGCCCCGGAGACAACACCCCCAGGGAGAGGCACAUUUUCAAAGCCACCCUUCACCGGCCCCAGGCCCGGGGCUCUGAUCUCCCUGAGCGCCUCAGUUGGUCCCGGAAAGCGAGGAGAAGAGGGGGUGCAGAGGAAGAAGUGCACCCAAAGAGCUGGCGAAGGCCCCCAUAGUGUUCCAGAGACGUCAGGUGGUGACGGCGGAAGCACUGAAAAUGCGCAGCCUAGA
Molecule: long non-coding RNA, 955 nt
Filed under: Sus scrofa (pig)
Lineage: Eukaryota; Metazoa; Chordata; Mammalia; Artiodactyla; Suidae
Description: lncRNA (ENSSSCG00040066622.1)
Source: RNAcentral